GCAUCGAUAGUGCAAUGGUUCUAGCGCGAACCCCUGAAUAGAAUGAAAUGUGGGUUCGAGUCCCAUCUGAAGCA
This is a non-coding RNA of Parelaphostrongylus tenuis, 74 nucleotides long. The record is from the annotation of a GenBank genome assembly. NCBI's taxonomy places the organism in Eukaryota, Metazoa, Nematoda, Chromadorea, Rhabditida, Metastrongylidae.